Equus caballus (horse) is the source of this 2528-nucleotide long non-coding RNA. The record is from Ensembl. Lineage: Eukaryota; Metazoa; Chordata; Mammalia; Perissodactyla; Equidae.
GACAAAUUGUUACAUGGCAAUGCCUUGGGUUCCGAGAGUCCGCCAUAAGCCACAGCUGGUCAAGAACCUAACCAAGGGAGGGGCAGCAGUUUGUCCGCCUGCAAUAGAUCCUUAUUGUGAAGUUGAAUUUGCUUUCUCAUCCUCUGUCUGCCUCCCUCUGCACCUCCAUUCAUAAACUGACUGAAUGACGCAGUCGAACACAGCAUUGCCUCCCACCGAGAAGCUCAUGUUUCUGUGAAGACUGAAGACAUACACCAAUAGGCCAGUGCCCAUGGGAUUUACCUGUCUUUCCUUGUACCCAUCGCCCAGGACUAGGUGGCCUUAAAGCAUGGUGGAAUGCCCUAUUGCAGGCCCAGUUACGGUGUGAGCUGAGAGACACCACCUCGUGAGACCCACUGGUCUGCAGAUUAUGGAGUAUGCUCUGAACCAGUAACAACCUGUGAUGCUAGUUCUCCUGGAGUCAAAUAUGUGGGUGUGGGAGCCAGCGCCGGGAUGUUGGAGUGGUACAUACUUAGUACUCAGGGGAGAACUGGGUCUUGCAAGAGAUGCUAAAAUGACUCCUCUGAAGUGGAAGCCGAGACUGUCACUGGCCACUGAGAAAACAGUUAAUAAGCUCCUGGCUCACAACUGAACAUGGAAGAGGCUGAAUGCCUGACUGUGGGACACCAAGUGACCCAUGCAACCAGAACUGGAUAUUAUCUGACCCAUCAAAUCAUAAAAUUGGACAUGCAUGGUAGCAUUCUAUUAUUAAAGAGUGUAUAUGAGAUCAGGUCUGAGCAGUCCAGAAGGCACAAGGAAAUUGCAUGAGCAGGUGGCUCAAAUUCCCAUGGUAUCUACUCUUUUUUUUUUUUUUUAAAGAUUUUUUAUUUUUUUCUUUUUCUCCCCAAAGCCCCCCAGUACAUAGUUGUAUAUUCUUUGUUGUGGGUCCUUCUAGUUGUGGCAUGUGGGACGCUGCCUCAGCGUGGUUUGAUGAGCAGUGCCAUGUCCGCGCCCAGGAUUCGAACCAACGAAACACUGGGCCGCCUGCAGCGGAGCGCGCGAACUUAACCACUCAGCCACGGGGCCAGCCCCCCAUGGUAUCUACUCUUAUUGCUUCACUGCUUCUCCCUCAACUUACACUUGGGGAAGUUGCUAUGACCAGUUAUCAUGGAGGAAAAUGCACAGACAUGAUUUCCAAAUGAGUUUGCGUGGUCUGUUAGCACCAGCUACAAAUGGACAACUGCUGUAUUAGAGCCACACUUAGGGUGUCUCUAAAAGAUGGUGCUGGAGGGAUAUGCUUUCAGUGAGCAGAACUCCUGGUUAUAUUGAUUGUCCAUUUUGCAUGGAAGGAGAGAUGACCGCAGGUACAGAUCUACACUCAUUCACGAGCAGUGGCUAACAAGUUCAUUGGCUGGUCAGGGACUUGAAAAUAAUAAGAUUGGGAGAUUGGAGGUAAGGAGGUCUAAGAUAUAGAUAUAUGGAUGGACUGCUUGAAAUGGGCACAGGCAGUGAAGCUCUUCUUAACCCACACAAAUGCCCUGAGAGGGCAUCCAUUGCGAAAGAGGCUUUCAAUAAUCAGAUGGACAAGACGACCCACACUGUAGAUGACAACUUCUUUCCCCAGCUACCCUGGUUCUUGCUCAUGGCCCAUAUACAAAGUGGCCAUGGUGGCAGGGAUAGGGGCUAGUCAUAGUGUGGUAGGCAGAAUAAUGAUCUCCCAAAGAUAUCCAUGCCCUAAUCCUUGGGACCUGUGAAUAUGUUAUAUUUUGUAUGACAAAUGGUGAAUUAAGGUAGCAGAUAGAAUUAAGGUUGCAAAUCAGCUGGCCUUAAAAAUAGAGAGAUUACCCUGAAUUACCUGGGUAGGCCCAAUGUAAUCACAAGGGUCUUUAAAUGCGGAAGCAGGGGGCAGAAUCUUUGUCAGAGUGGUGUGAUAUGAGAAAGAGUUGAUCGGCCAUGACUGGUGUUGAAAAUAGGAGGAGGGCGCAAGCCAAGGAAUGCAGGCAGCCCCUAGAAGCUGGAAAAGGCAAGAAAAACAGAUUCUCCUUUAGAGACUCCAAAAAGGAAUGCAGCCUUGCUGACACCUUGAUUUUAACCCAACGAGACUCAUUCCAGGCUUCUGACGCCAGAACCGUAAGAGAAUAAAUUUGAGUGGUUUUAAGCCACUAAGUUUGUGGUAAUUUAUUACAGCAGCCAUGGAAAACUAAUACACAUAGUCUCAAUACAUUUCCCUCACCAAUCUGAUCCAGCAUCUGGCACUGCUGAGGGCCCAAGCUGCCAGCAGAAAAGACCAAGCUGAGUUUCCUAUAUGUUACUAUUCCUUGGGGCAAUGGUUCUCAAAGGGCAGACGAGGAACCCCUGGGGGUCUCCAAGAUUCUUUCAGGGGUUCUAUGAGGUCCAAUCUAUUUUCACACUAAGACAUUCUUUGCCUUUUUCACUGUCAUUCUUUCAUGAGUGUAUAGUGGAAGUGCAAUUUUCCAGAGGCUACAUGCCACGUGUACAACGGACUGAAUGCUGAGCAGACUAGAGAACCAAGCUUUCUUCUACUAAGC